Regulatory RNA element from Halobacillus sp. BBL2006, 124 nucleotides. It matches the Rfam family "ylbH leader". From Rfam's summary of the family: This family is a putative regulatory RNA structure that is found upstream of the ylbH gene in B. subtilis and related low GC Gram-positive bacteria. The record is from Rfam. NCBI's taxonomy places the organism in Bacteria, Bacillati, Bacillota, Bacilli, Caryophanales, Bacillaceae.
AAAAAAAUAGGGCUGCCUUAAACAGACAGCCCUUCUUUUUUGAAUCAUUCAAUAUAAUUCAAAAAAGUAAAGGGAGAGGAGAAACCGGAGGAAGCGCUUAUGGGGAUGUAAGCCUUCUCCGUUU